This 568-nucleotide long non-coding RNA is filed under the name Coturnix japonica (Japanese quail). RNAcentral's name for it is "lncRNA (ENSCJPG00005002378.1)". Lineage: Eukaryota; Metazoa; Chordata; Aves; Galliformes; Phasianidae. The record is from RNAcentral.
UGGGGGGGUUAUGGGCUGUCUAUGCGGGGGUAUGGCGGUCUACCCUUGAUGGGGGGGUUAAUUCAAUGAAUGGGGGUUAAGUUGGGAUCUGGGCCCCCUCGUUCUGAUCGGGGCGUAAGUCCUAUAUGAAUGGGGUUAAUUGGGGGUCGGGCCCCUUCGUACAACGAUUUGGGUGGUAGAUCUUAAUGAAUGGGGUUAAUUGGGGUCGGGCUGCUCGUACCUAUGGGUCAUGGCCAUGGGGUCCCUAUGGGUCAUUGGCCAUGGGGCAUCUGUGGGGCGGCCAUAGGGUCCCUAUGGGCUGUGGCCUAUAGGGUGGCCAUGGAGUACCUAUGGGUCAUGGCCAUGGGGUUGGCUAUGGGUUGGCCAUGGGGUCAUGGCCAUGGGCUCUGUGGGGCGGCCAUGGGUCCCUCAUUGGACCAUAUAUAGGAUGGCCAUAAGGGUGGCCAUGGGGUCCCUAUGGGACAUAUAUGGGGUGGCUAAUAGGGUACCUAUGGGUUGUUUGGCCUAUAGGGUGGGCCCAUGGAGCUACCAUUGGGACAUAUAUGGGGUGGCCCAUGGAGUACCUAUG